RNAcentral lists this ribosomal RNA (301 nucleotides) under uncultured bacterium. Its description in RNAcentral is "partial 16S ribosomal RNA". It matches the Rfam family "Bacterial small subunit ribosomal RNA", at positions 509 to 807 of the family's 1533-position model. The record is from RNAcentral.
CAGUAGCCGCGGUAAUACGAAGGGUGCAAGCGUUAAUCGGAAUUACUGGGCGUAAAGCGCACGCAGGCUGUUUGUUAAGUCAGAUGUGAAAUCCCCGAGCUUAACUUGGGAACUGCGCUUGUGACUGCACAGCUAGAGUAUGGCAGAGGGGGGUGGAAUUCCACGUGUAGCAGUGAAAUGCGUAGAGAUGUGGAGGAACACCGAUGGCGAAGGCAGCCCCCUGGGCCAAUACUGACGCUCAUGCACGAAAGCGUGGGGAGCAAACAGGAUUAGAUACCCGCGUAGUCCCUGUCUCUUAUAC